GGGUUCUGGGAGGCUCUGCCUCAUUUCAUACAGCCACUGUUUGCAUAUGCAAAUUGCAGCAGCCUGCUUCCUACUUACAACCCGGACUUACAGCAGCCUGACUGCUGAGCACAGGUCAGAGUGCACAGCAAGAGAACCGGACUAUUUUGAGAAGCACUGCUGGCCCCUUGUGUGAUACCUGAUUCUGAAGGAGGACGAUCACUACCAGAGAGCCUGCAAAGAGCAGGAGAAGGAGGCCUGGUUAUACCAUAAAUGGCAGAGUAAGCGCUUCUGGAACUUUCCGGCCUCCUCCUCCUCCAACUCAUCCUCAUCUUCCUCAUCCUCUUCUUUCUCUGGCUCCUCUGCCAUAAUUUAAUUUACUUCGCCCAGAGAGAGACUCCACCCUUCAGGACUAGCCUCCUCCUGGACCUCCCCUGUGUCUGGGCCUGGCUUUCUGAGCUUGGGCCCGGGGGGACAGGGGUGCAAGAGCCAGGCCCAGAAAUGCUGCAGACACGGGACCAGCCCACAUUUCUCCUCCUUCGUUUAGACAUUUUCGGACGGCAUCUAAAUUAAAUGCUUUUCUGUGUCUCUGAAUUGUGCUGGAACGCAGAACCGUCUUCAGAACGUGGACUUAAAAUUGGAAAGUGUUGCAUUUAACAUACUCUUCUGUGUAAUUUCUGUAUGAGCCAAACCCUGGGGAGCACAACCGGUGGAAGGACAUUGUCUCAUCAGCCAACCACUCGCCCUCUUAGCAUAUGUCACCUAUUUACCUUAUGGUCAUUGGAGGACAGUUCACCAUGUUGACAGUUCACCAGUUCUUCCGGUUGAGUUCUGUUAGUAGAACAAGGGGACAUAAAUGCAAAUGAACAAAAUGUAGAUUCCAUACAGGCUGUUACGGCCCAAGACAGCCGAGUUUCAGUAACCGGCUGUCCGUCCAUAGCCAAACACGUUUAAAUACACCACAACAUUCUUUACCAGAAUACAAAGUAUAUAUUUAUUACAAACCCAAUAACCCAAUACAAUACAAAAACCCACAUACAAACAGGUAGACAGGACAGAACCAGCAGAUCUAACCUAACACUCACUGUCUAAAUGGAACAUAACUUCUGCCCUCACUACCGUCGAGGAUGGGACGAGACAAAGAAGAAAUUAAAGGGGAGAAAGUGAGUCUUCUGGUCCGCUGCUACCCUACACUGACUGACUAGAACAAAAAGGUG
Molecule: long non-coding RNA, 1196 nt
Organism: Anguilla anguilla (European eel)
Lineage: Eukaryota; Metazoa; Chordata; Actinopteri; Anguilliformes; Anguillidae
Exons: 2
Source: RefSeq, a predicted model, not a curated record